Non-coding RNA from Anolis sagrei ordinatus, 231 nucleotides. The record is from RefSeq and is a predicted model, not a curated record. NCBI's taxonomy places the organism in Eukaryota, Metazoa, Chordata, Lepidosauria, Squamata, Anolidae.
UCUCUCUUUUUCCUAAAGGAGUCCAGCCUUUCAAUUCAACAACCCUCGCAUCCUAAUUUGCUCCCGGACCCUAAGCAAUAGGGAGAACCACCAGGAUGAAGAACAGAGAAGUUACUCCUGGAUCCUCCCCUGCAUGCCAGGAUCUCCCUCACAUCUCAGCUGCCUUCCACCAUCCCUGAAUCACUCUGCCUUCAACCCUUCCCAGCUUGCCUUAGAAACCCAGCAGGGCUA